This is a small nuclear RNA of Procavia capensis (Cape rock hyrax), 107 nucleotides long. The record is from Ensembl. Lineage: Eukaryota; Metazoa; Chordata; Mammalia; Hyracoidea; Procaviidae.
CUGCUCACUUUGGCAGCACAUAUACUAAAAUUGGAAUGAUACAGAGAAGAUUCGCAUGGCCCCUGCACAAGGAUGACACACAACUUCGUGAAGGGUUCCAUAUUUUU